Molecule: non-coding RNA, 640 nt
Organism: Camelina sativa (false flax)
Lineage: Eukaryota; Viridiplantae; Streptophyta; Magnoliopsida; Brassicales; Brassicaceae
Source: RefSeq, a predicted model, not a curated record
AACAAGUGUUAAAAACAUAGCUAGCACUACAACCCUGAUUCUGAAAUAUCAAGCCAUUCAUCAAAAGGAAAAAUCUAGAUGAUGCAAAUUCAAGAUAGAAAGAGGUACAAUUGUAUUGGAACUCGAGAAGGCACCAGAAUUCAGAGAAGGAUGAAGUUUAUUCAGAGAACAGACACUGUCUGUGGCAGGCGACAGUGUUCUUACAGGAAACAACUAAAACUUAGCUAGCACUACUAAUCCGAUUCAUCAAAAACAAAGCCGUCACAAGGAAAAAAUCUAAAUGAUGGAUAAUCAAGGCAGGUGAGCAAAUCACUGUUUCUAAAUCAGCAAGUUCGAGUGCAUCUGUAGAUGAGUUUACCCAUCUGUGUCACCGCAUCCGCUGGAUAAAGGUUCCCAAGUCGAGGAUCGAUUAUUUCCGCAAUCUUAUGAUUAUCUAAGCUUUGCCUGUUCUUGAUUAUCCAUUUAAGGAAUCCUUCAUAUCUCGAACCAGUUAAAAGCUCAAGCAAGAUCACACCAAAUAUGUAAACAUCGGACUCCAUUACGAAACAACCUAUAUAUACAUUCCACAGUUGUCAGUCUUAAACAUUUUGAAGAAUGAAUAUCAGAAACCAAAUUAGUUAUAUAUGAUUUUUUGGUGAUA